UUUCCGUAGGUGAACCUGCGGAAGGAUCAUUACCGCGUGAGGGACUCUCAGGCCCGACCCCCUACCCUCCCUUUUUGUCACGUUGUUGCUUUGGCGCACCCGCCUCCGUCAGAAGCCGCCUGAAGCUCACCGCUUUGGGCCCGUUACCCACGCCCGCCCCCUUCAAUUCCUCUUAAACCUGUCGUUCGUGUUCAUGGCUAUAAUAAAAAACAACCUUUAACCACUGACCUCUUGGUCCUCGCAUCGUUGAAGAACGCAGCAGAUCGGAUGAGCACACGU
This 279-nucleotide unclassified non-coding RNA is filed under the name plant metagenome. Its description in RNAcentral is "partial contains small subunit ribosomal RNA, internal transcribed spacer 1, and 5.8S ribosomal RNA". The record is from RNAcentral.